This 1644-nucleotide long non-coding RNA is filed under the name Piliocolobus tephrosceles (Ugandan red Colobus). RNAcentral's name for it is "lncRNA (ENSPTEG00000011022.1)". Lineage: Eukaryota; Metazoa; Chordata; Mammalia; Primates; Cercopithecidae. The record is from RNAcentral.
UUAUGAUUAAAAAAAUAAUAUUUAAUUUAAGUGUAUUUUUUACAAUUGAAUAAGAUUAUUCCGUUGUAUAUUACAUAAGAUGUAACACUAAAGAGAAAUAAGCUCAUUUUUUUUCAAAUAUAAAAUAAGCUAAUAAAUAUAUGUAUAUAUAUACAUACAUACAUAAGCAAACAUUCACUAAAAAAAAGUAAACUUGUUAGUUUAUUUGUCAAUUUUUAUUUAUCUUAAUAAAUUAUAUAUUUUCACAUUGUUUUAUUAUUUUUUUUUAAUUGACUAGGUAUAUAUGAAUUAAUCGUAUCUAUUCAUCACUAGCAUAUAUUCAUAUACACAUAUAAAUUCAUAUAUAUAUAUUUGUAUGUAUGUAUAUAUAAAGAUGAUUAAAAAUAAAAUCAUAUACACACUAGUAGUGUUAUUCAUAGUAAUAGCUAAAAUAAUAGAAAGCUAUAGUUUGUUUAAAAACGACUUUCUAUUUAAAAAUUUGGCUAUAGAUAAAAAAAAAUUAGAUAGCUCUUAUUUUUAUAAUUAUAAUAAUUUACAAUGGGAUGGGAAGAUUGUAGUUAUUGGAGACAUUCAUGGGGAUAUUGAAAGUUUAAAGUUGAUAUUAAGACAUUCUAAUUUAAUUAAUGAUAAUGAUGAAUGGGAAAGCAGCAAUGCAUUAUUAAUACAACUAGGUGACGUAUUAGAUCGAGGUAUAUAUGGUCCGGUUAUUUAUGAAUAUUUAUUUAAAUUACAAAAAGAAGCUAGUAAAAAAAACAGUAAAGUUAUAUUAAUAUUAGGAAAUCAUGAGCAGUUAAAUUUAUGUGGGUAUUUUGAUUAUGUAAAUAAAAAAGAAGUUGAGUUAUUUUUUGAAAACAAUUACUAUUAUAGAUUAUAUAGUUUUACUUAUGACAAGGGUGAUUAUUUUAAAAAAUUAAUAAAAUUACCUCCCAUAGUUAAAGUUAAUAAUAUAAUGUUUACACAUGCAGGUAUAAGUAAAAACAUGAGUUUAUUUAGUAUAAACACAAUAGGUUUAAAAACUCGAUUACAAAUAGAAAACCGAUGUAAAAUAUUACAAUAUGAUAAAAAAAAUAAUUAUCUAAGUAGAGAUGGUGUAUUAUGGAAUGAUGAAAUUUCUAAAAAAGUUAAGUACAAUAAAAAAGAAGCAUGUUCAGACUUAGUACACAUUUUAAACAAAUUUAAUGCAAAAUCUUUGAUAGUAGGACAUACAAAACAAUUAUCACAUAAAAUAAAAUCAUUUUGUAAUAAUAAAUACUUUCUUAUUGAUGUAGGCAUGAGUUUAUUUAUGAAUAAUGGACAACCCUAUCCAAGUUAUCUUCUUAUAAAUAAUGGAAACUUUAAAUCAAUUCGAUUAAUUAUUAACAAAAACAAAAAUAAAAAAAAUUGUCAACCCAUACAUAUUCAAUCAUAUCAGAAACAAAACAAAAAAUAUUGUAUACAAGAAACGGUAACUCAGUUUUAAGCUUGAAUCAUCGCGUCAUACUAUUUAUUGCUAAUCUUAUUUCAUACAAGGAAAAAAAAAAAAAAAAAAAAAAAAAAAAAGUGCGUGCACGGUUAAGUGUAUGUAUAAUAUAUACCCACACUUAUUCCCAUUUGUACACUUACGACUCAAAUAAAAAUAUAUAUAAUUAUGUUUGUACUUUAAUA